This 253-nucleotide ribosomal RNA is filed under the name uncultured bacterium. Its description in RNAcentral is "partial 16S ribosomal RNA". It matches the Rfam family "Bacterial small subunit ribosomal RNA", at positions 524 to 776 of the family's 1533-position model. The record is from RNAcentral.
UACGGGGGGGGCAAGCGUUGUUCGGAAUUACUGGGCGUAAAGGGCUCGUAGGCGGCCAACUAAGUCAGACGUGAAAUCCCUCGGCUUAACCGGGGAACUGCGUCUGAUACUGGUUGGCUUGAAUCCGGGAGAGGGAUGCAGAAUUCCAGGUGUAGCGGUGAAAUGCGUAGAUAUCUGGAGGAAUACCGGUGGCGAAGGCGGCAUCCUGGACCGGCAUUGACGCUGAGGAGCGAAAGCCAGGGGAGCAAACGGG